This 403-nucleotide ribosomal RNA is filed under the name uncultured bacterium. Its description in RNAcentral is "partial 16S ribosomal RNA". It matches the Rfam family "Bacterial small subunit ribosomal RNA", at positions 29 to 526 of the family's 1533-position model. The record is from RNAcentral.
AUUGAACGCUGGCGGCAGGCCUAACACAUGCAAGUCGAGCGAGCGGCGGACGGGUGAGUAAUGGAUGGGGACUGCCCGAUAGAGGGGGAUAACGACUGGAAACGGUAGCUAAUACCGCAUACUAUCGGAUAACCCAUGUGGGAUGAGCUAGUAGGUGAGGAAAUGGCUAACCAAGGCGACGAUCCCUAGCUGGGCUGAGAGGAUGAUCAGUCACCCUGGGACAGAGACACGGCCCAGAAUCCUAGGGAGGCAGCAGUGGGGAAUAUUGCACAAUGGGCGCAAUCCUGAUGCAGACAUGCCGGGUGGAUGAAGAAGGCCCUAGGGUUGUAAAGUACUUUCAGUCGGGAGGCGUUACCGACAUAGGAAGCACCGGCUAACUCCGUGCCAGCAGCCGCGGUAAUAC